UGGGGAAUAUUGCACAAUGGGCGCAAGCCUGAUCCAGCCAUGCCGCGUGAGUGAUGAAGGCCCUAGGGUUGUAAAGCUCUUUUGUGCGGGAAGAUAAUGACGGUACCGCAAGAAUAAGCCCCGGCUAACUUCGUGCCAGCAGCCGCGGUAAUACGAAGGGGGCUAGCGUUGCUCGGAAUCACUGGGCGUAAAGGGUGCGUAGGCGGGUCUUUAAGUCAGGGGUGAAAUCCUGGAGCUCAACUCCAGAACUGCCUUUGAUACUGAGGAUCUUGAGUUCGGGAGAGGUGAGUGGAACUGCGAGUGUAGAGGUGAAAUUCGUAGAUAUUCGCAAGAACACCAGUGGCGAAGGCGGCUCACUGGCCCGAUACUGACGCUGAGGCACGAAAGCGUGGGGAGCAAACA
This 402-nucleotide ribosomal RNA is filed under the name uncultured bacterium. RNAcentral's name for it is "partial 16S ribosomal RNA". It matches the Rfam family "Bacterial small subunit ribosomal RNA", at positions 355 to 774 of the family's 1533-position model. The record is from RNAcentral.